Molecule: non-coding RNA, 72 nt
Organism: Podarcis lilfordi (Lilford's wall lizard)
Lineage: Eukaryota; Metazoa; Chordata; Lepidosauria; Squamata; Lacertidae
Source: the annotation of a GenBank genome assembly
GGUUAGCUCAGUUGGUUACAGCAUGGUGCUGACAGAACGUCAAGGUUGCAGGUUCGAUCCCCCCAUGGGACA